UGUCGGCGACCGGCGCACGGGUGAGUAACGCGUAUCCAACCUGCCCAUAACUAAGGGAUAACCCAGCGAAAGUUGGACUAAUACCUUAUGUAUCGUUUGAUUUCAUGAGAUUACGAAUAAAGAUUUAUCGGUUAUGGAUGGGGAUGCGUCUGAUUAGCUUGUUGGCGGGGUAACGGCUCACCAAGGCAACGAUCAGUAGGGGUUCUGAGAGGAAGGUCCCCCACAUUGGAACUGAGACACGGUCCAAACUCCUACGGGAGGCAGCAGUA
This 269-nucleotide ribosomal RNA is filed under the name uncultured Prevotella sp. RNAcentral's name for it is "partial 16S ribosomal RNA". It matches the Rfam family "Bacterial small subunit ribosomal RNA", at positions 86 to 355 of the family's 1533-position model. Lineage: Bacteria; Pseudomonadati; Bacteroidota; Bacteroidia; Bacteroidales; Prevotellaceae. The record is from RNAcentral.